AUUGAACGCUGGCGGCAGGCCUAACACAUGCAAGUCGAACGAGUGGCGGACGGGUGAGUAAUGUCUGGGAAACUGCCCGAUGGAGGGGGAUAACUACUGGAAACGGUAGCUAAUACCGCAUACCAUCGGAUGUGCCCAGAUGGGAUUAGCGAGUAGGUGGGGUAAUGGCCCACCUAGGCGACGACCACUAGCUGGUCUGAGAGGAUGACCAGCCACAGUGGAACUGCGAACCGGUCCCGACUCCUACGGGAGGCAGCAGUGGGGAAUAUUGCACAAUGGGCGCAAGCCUGAUGCAGCCAUGCCGCGUGUAUGAAGAAGGCCUUCGGGUUGUAAAGUACUUUCAGCGGGGCGGCGUUACCCGCAGAAGAAGCACCGGCUAACUCCGUGCCAGCAGCCGCGGUAAUAC
Molecule: ribosomal RNA, 406 nt
Filed under: uncultured bacterium
Lineage: Bacteria
Description: partial 16S ribosomal RNA
Rfam family: Bacterial small subunit ribosomal RNA
Source: RNAcentral